AAGAAUAUAGCAUAUAAUUAAUGCAUUUUAUUUACAUUAAAAAGAAAAAUUUUAUUCUUA
RNAcentral lists this transfer RNA (60 nucleotides) under Siboglinum ekmani. RNAcentral describes it as "tRNA-Val". The record is from RNAcentral. Lineage: Eukaryota; Metazoa; Annelida; Polychaeta; Sabellida; Siboglinidae.